UUAAGUUGUACCAGACAUUGUUCAAGAAACAUCGUUCGAAACAGUUGAAAGUAUUUAUUUUUAAAUUUCUGUUAGAAUCUGUGGAAGAAUGGCUGGCGCUAUUGCAUUUAUGAAGGAGAUCUAUAAUGACUCUUUUAAAUGGUCAGUGAUUAAGAGCAUCGGGUUUUUCGCAUUGGGUGUAAAGAUUGCACUCGAUUGUAAGGGAAUGGUUUUAAUGCCACCGAUGUCUUCCUGAAACUAAAAAAUUAACAAAUAUAAUACCUUUUAAUUUGCCAUACUGUACAACCAUGUAAACAUUUCAUUAUUUUAAUGACAUAUUGUGUUUCAAAAUAA
This is a long non-coding RNA of Dufourea novaeangliae, 333 nucleotides long. RefSeq lists it as uncharacterized. The record is from RefSeq and is a predicted model, not a curated record. The transcript has 2 exons. Lineage: Eukaryota; Metazoa; Arthropoda; Insecta; Hymenoptera; Halictidae.